CAGCUAUCACUUUUUCUUCUUGAGUGCUUAUUUGUUCAGUUUUUAAAAAUAUUUUCAGCGAUGUAGAUAGACUAGCACUUCUUUCUCUUUUUUGGUGUUCAUUACAUUUUUGAUGUUUUUCUAUAUCAUUCUUGCCACCAUGAGAUAUGCUAAACUGUUUUUGGCACAAUGUGCAAAGUGCUCUUAACUUAUUAUUUGGAACGGAUUUGAUGAACGAGUAACUUUUCAUCCAAACAUCGAGAAAAUAACACAUUCUUUUUUGUUUCUUCUUUUUCGGAGUCGAAGUCGAAGCAUCGGUUUUUACCUCGGAUUCGGAAACAGUUUCCGGAUCACUCAUUUCAAAAGAAAUCUGAAAAUAAAAGAAAUCCAAUGGCAGCAACCAACACCACAUACGUGAAUAAAUACAUACAUACAAACAGAUAUACGCUGGAUUAUGUUAAUAAAUCAUGAAAUCAAUACAUAAAAUUUCGUUAAAAAACAUCAAAAGCAUUUAUUUACCUCUCCCGGCACUUUGCACAAACCCUCAUGUCAAAAAUUUUCUAUCAUAUUUAUCAUGAAACCAAUAAAAACCAACUGCCUAACAUAACCUAAAAUUCGCCAACACGAAUUAGAAUCUUAGAAAGAACUAAAUAUGAGAAAAUUGUUAAAAGUAUUUGCGUAAACAUUUAAAUAAUGUUUAAUUAAACAAUUUGAAUGCUUACCUGCAAAGAAUCUCCUAAAUGUGCUGAUAAAAUUGCAAAACACAUACGAACGAACGAAGACCGAUUGAUUGAGUGAAGCCAAAGUGAAGUAUGUACCUACCUCCUACACAUUGUGAAGCGGUAUUUUACUUUGUGGUAGCGUCUCUGAGCAAGAGAGAAAACAAAACUAAGCUAUACUUAUAGCGUUAGUAAUGACUAAUGGGAUGCGUGCUAUUUUAAACGCAUUGUCGCACUCGAUAUAGUGAUGUGAUGCGUAAUUUUCAUUAUUCUAGUAAUAACGGGUUUUUAAUAAAUUAAUAAUUUAGCGUCCCGAUCAGGUGCAAAUCGGGACGCGUCCUCAGACCCUGAAAAUCGGGACGUCCCGCGCAAAUCGGGACACCUGGCAAUUCUAGUUAGACCACUCAAUUCUCAAUUUUCGGAGUGUAAUGUGGUUUCAACGUUUAUUUCGUAACGCGACUAUCAAAAUUCUGAUAAAUGUUUUGCUUUUCUGAACAGUGUGAAGAAAAGUAAUGAAACCUGUGAACGAAUGAUGGAUUUAUAUCUAUUGUAUUUACAUUACUACAUAUAAGUAUGUUCAUGAAGAACAAUACGAGUUGAAUUAACUUUGCCUAUACACUCCAGGCCGUUAUUUUUGUUUUAAUAAAUUUUUGAUGGGAAGGACUUUGUUUCAUUUUGUUAAGUGAUGUUAAAUGUUUUUGUGCUAUUGCAACUGUUGCAGAUAUUUUUUUAUUAAAAUGUCUCGUAACAGUGCAUAGAUACAAAAACAUUUAACAUUAAUAAUCUCUUAAAAUAAUAUGGAAAAUAAAUACAAUGUCAUGUUUGAAAUUCCCGCUAUUGUCGAGUUAGUUCGUUUGCUACUCGCUAGAUAACGCUUUCGGUAAAAACGAGGGGUAGACAGAGAGAUUCGCUUCUCCCUCUCUCUUAUUCUAUGGUCAAUAAGCUGUCAAUUGGCUGUCAACAGUGUCAGCACACUACCAAAAUGUUGUCAUGGAACUUGUUUGUUUUUGUCGUUUUUAACGUGUUAACCGUCCAUAAAACAAGUCUACUUAAUUUUAAUUGAAAUAACUUCUAAAUGGUAAUGAGUUUUAUUGAAAACAACGAAAGAAGACAGCGAUGAAGACAGAAAGAAGAGUUUUUAGGGCGACGGAGGAGGAAUCAACUACUAGAUUGAUGAGCAAUGCGGAUGGCCAUUUCCUCAUUCAGAUCAUCAACCUGCUGAUCGGCACCGGAAUCUAAACACUUGAAUUGUGGAAUGAAUCUUUCCUCGGCAGAACUUGAAGCAGCAUUUUGAAGCCCCUUAUUUUUGAGAAAGAUGGCUACAAGAUGAAUGUGCUUGCAAAAAUGAUUGUUGGUGGUGGCGUCUCGACAAGUACAGAUAAUGGUUGACUCGAAGUUCUGCGUCGUGCCCAACAUGCGUAGAAGUAAAUUUUGCAGUCACUGUUCCAGUGGCGCUGCAAAUUUCUGCCCUAAUGCGAGAAGGACACACACCAUCCACUCUUAUGGAGCCAGAAAUUUUAGGUACUCGUAAUUGACAAGUACUUUUAAAAUCAAAGAAAUUGCUCCUGUGGCACUCGAAGUACAAUGUUUUGCCAGAUGUACUGUUAGUUGACGUCUUCAGAAAAUAGAAAGAUUUUGUCUCUC
Molecule: long non-coding RNA, 2342 nt
Organism: Tribolium castaneum (red flour beetle)
Lineage: Eukaryota; Metazoa; Arthropoda; Insecta; Coleoptera; Tenebrionidae
Exons: 3
Source: RefSeq, a predicted model, not a curated record